RNAcentral lists this long non-coding RNA (748 nucleotides) under Carica papaya (papaya). RNAcentral describes it as "long non-coding RNA (CPAP_LNC002589)". The record is from RNAcentral. Lineage: Eukaryota; Viridiplantae; Streptophyta; Magnoliopsida; Brassicales; Caricaceae.
UGAAGUUUGUGUUUUGGUGAUUCGGUUCCGAUCAACUUGUAGAGAAAAGAAUGGUGAUCACGGUGAUAUAAAAAUUGCAUUAAACGGAGGCCGGGAAGGGCCUCAUCGGAGGUAAAAACCGAGAAGGGGCGCGGCGGCGCCGCUGGCUUUCGGCCGUGUUUUUCGGCCGUUUGGCCGGGAUUUUGGCUCCGAUUUGGCCACUGGGGAAAUCAGCGUGGAAAAACGAGUUGGGGGUAUGCAAUUUACCUCGAUCGGCGGUCGGAAAUUCCUCCGGUGCGGCGGCGGGUGGCGGCAGCCGGCUUCUGGUUCGUCUUCUCCGGCGAGGGCAGGCGGCUAGGGUUUGGGGUCUGGUGUGGGGGUCUUAUUUAUACCCUUUUACCUUUUGAUCUCAGCCGUCCAUUUUGUUUUUAUCUGGGCCAUCCGUUUUUGAUUAAAUCUGGGCCGUCCGUGCGCGCAAUUGAUCUGGGCCGUCCGAUCGCGCGCACGCGGAUCGCCAACGUGGCCCGUCCCUGGUCGACUUGGUUUUGCCACGUGGCAGGUCCUGGUUGGCCAGGCCUGCUGACUGGGCCUGCUGACGUGGCACGCACGUUUUUUUUUUUUCCUUCUUCAAUUUCCCCGGGCGCUACAAGCUGGACGGCCAAAUGGCCCAAACAUGUGGCUCUCCUCAAGUCCUGAAGUCAAACCUGUUGUGUAGCCCCAAUUUGCCUGCAUUCUGAGACCAUCAAAUGGGUUAAGAUACUUGCACUUU